RNAcentral lists this unclassified non-coding RNA (647 nucleotides) under Hevea brasiliensis (rubber tree). Lineage: Eukaryota; Viridiplantae; Streptophyta; Magnoliopsida; Malpighiales; Euphorbiaceae. The record is from RNAcentral.
GGCAAUCGUCUUCACUAUCUAUGUAAGUUUGCUUAAUUGCGUGGUGUUUGACAACUGGUUCUUAGAAGGAGAGUAGGAGUUUAUAGGAACAUGAUGUGCUUGAGUAAGCAUAGUUGUCAAUAGGAUGACAGCCUGAUGAUAGGAUGCCUCUGUUAAUGUUUAAUCAGUGUACAGUGACUUUAAGGUCUGCACAAAUAAUCUGACAGUGAGGUGAUCUUUAAUUGUUGCAUUAUGCCUUCAGUCUUCUUUUGGUCUAUAGUUUUUUUAAGGAACUGACAUGCAUCUGAUUCUCAAGCCCUAAGUGUGGGCACAAGGAGGUGUGCAUCUUUUACUUGGUGGUAUGAAGACUAUGAUUUGUGGUGAUGAAGUGCCCAUAAAUCAUCCAAUUAGCAUGAGCCCUCCAUCAUCCUAUUAAAAUUAGCCUUUCACUUAAGAUAAGUUUUAGGGAUGAAUAAAUACUUUUGAAAGUUUGAAAAAGUCUACUCAUCAAUUUUUUUCUUUCCUAUAUAUACAAUAUUCGAAGAAAAAGAUUGAGUUCUUCAUGCCAAAACAUUUUGAUUUUACAAAUCCCAUUUAGCACCUUCUAAUAAUUGAACUUGUUGGACUAAAACUCUAACCUAUAAAUUUUUAUAUUCUUAUAUAUUAUA